This is a non-coding RNA of Schistosoma mansoni, 46 nucleotides long. The record is from Rfam. Lineage: Eukaryota; Metazoa; Platyhelminthes; Trematoda; Strigeidida; Schistosomatidae.
AUGCAGCUGAAGAGUCUUGAAAUGGGGCGAAACGCGCUUCCUGGAU